AUGAACGCUGGCGGCGUGCCUAGUCCAUGCAAGUCGAGCGAACGGACGAGAAGCUUGCUUCUCUGAUGUUAGCGGCGGACGGGUGAGUAACACGUGGAUAACCUACCUAUAAGACUGGGAUAACUUCGGGAAACCGGAGCUAAUACCGGAUAAUAUUUUGAACCGCAUGGUUCAAAAGUGAAAGACGGUCUUGCUGUCACUUAUAGAUGGAUCCGCGCUGCAUUAGCUAGUUGGUAAGGUAACGGCUUACCAAGGCAACGAUGCAUAGCCGACCUGAGAGGGUGAUCGGCCACACUGGAACUGAGACACGGUCCAGACUCCUACGGGAGGCAGCAGUAGGGAAUCUUCCGCAAUGGGCGAAAGCCUGACGGAGCAACGCCGCGUGAGUGAUGAAGGUCUUCGGAUCGUAAAACUCUGUUAUUAGGGAGAACAUAUGUGUAAGUAACUGUGCACAUCUUGACGGUACCUAAUCAGAAAGCCACGGCUAACUACGU
RNAcentral lists this ribosomal RNA (494 nucleotides) under uncultured bacterium. RNAcentral's name for it is "partial 16S ribosomal RNA". It matches the Rfam family "Bacterial small subunit ribosomal RNA", at positions 29 to 506 of the family's 1533-position model. The record is from RNAcentral.